GAUGAACGCUCGCUACAGGCUUAACACAUGCAAGUCGAGGGGAAACGACAUCGAAAGCUUGCUUUUGAUGGGCGUCGACCGGCGCACGGGUGAGUAACGCGUAUCCAACCUGCCCAUCACUUGGGAAUAACCUUGCGAAAGUAAGACUAAUACCCAAUGACAUCCCACGAAGACAUCUGAAUGGGAUUAAAGAUUUAUCGGUGAUGGAUGGGGAUGCGUCUGAUUAGCUUGUUGGCGGGGUAACGGCCCACCAAGGCAACGAUCAGUAGGGGUUCUGAGAGGAAGGUCCCCCACAUUGGAACUGAGGCACGGUCCAAACUCCUACGGGAGGCAGCAGUGAGGAAUAUUGGUCAAUGGGCGAGAGCCUGAACCAGCCAAGUAGCGUGCAGGAUGACGGCCCUAUGGGUUGUAAACUGCUUUUAUAAGGGAAUAAAGUGGGUCUCGUGAGACUUUUUGCAUGUACCUUAUGAAUAAGGACCGGCUAAUUCCGU
Molecule: ribosomal RNA, 491 nt
Filed under: uncultured bacterium
Lineage: Bacteria
Description: partial 16S ribosomal RNA
Rfam family: Bacterial small subunit ribosomal RNA
Source: RNAcentral